AACGCACGAGACCUGCGGACCUGCGGAAGGAUCAUUAAUGAGAAGCUGCCCCUCGUGGGUAGACCUCCCACCCUCUGUGAACUUACCUUUGUUGCUUUGGCAGGCCCGUCCUCUGGACCGCCGGCUUCGGCUGGCCCGUGCCUGCCUGAGGAUUCCAAACCCUGUCUGUCAGUGUUGUCUGAGUCUAUAUGAAAUCGUUAAAACUUUCAGCAACGGAUCUCUAGAUCGGAAGAGCACACG
Molecule: unclassified non-coding RNA, 240 nt
Filed under: soil metagenome
Description: partial contains 5.8S ribosomal RNA, internal transcribed spacer 2, and large subunit ribosomal RNA
Source: RNAcentral